UCCUUAUUCUUACAGUACCGUCAAUCUUCCACACGUGAAAGGGUUUCUUCCUGUACAAAAGCAGUUUACAAUCCAUAGGACCGUCAUCCUGCACGCGGCAUGGCUGGAUCAGGCUUGCGCCCAUUGUCCAAUAUUCCUCACUGCUGCCUCCCGUAGGCCCCCCGUGCCCA
This 170-nucleotide ribosomal RNA is filed under the name uncultured bacterium. RNAcentral describes it as "partial 16S ribosomal RNA". The record is from RNAcentral.